Trematomus bernacchii (emerald rockcod) is the source of this 540-nucleotide long non-coding RNA. RefSeq lists it as uncharacterized. The transcript has 3 exons. The record is from RefSeq and is a predicted model, not a curated record. Lineage: Eukaryota; Metazoa; Chordata; Actinopteri; Perciformes; Nototheniidae.
CAUGGUCCUCUUUAGUUCUUCAGAUCAUGGCAAAACUCUUACUGGUAUUCUGAGCUGACACAGUAUUAUGUGUGUGGAUUUGAAUGAAUAGUUGUCUGUUUCCUUGUAGGGUUGGCUACCAGGUGAGUUCAGAUACCACGUGUGCCAGUAUGAAGAGGUGGUUUCACUGGGGGACCACACUGGUUUUGAGGCCACUUUGAGGCUGGAUGUCCACACUGUGGAACAGGUCAAGGAGUGGGUACAAAAGCUGAAGGGGUCAUCAGGGGUGACAUGGAGGGUGGAUGUUACCCGACCCAGGUUGGGGAAGCGGGUGCUUUUCAAAGCAAGUUAUAAGUGUCAGCAUAGGGUGAACCCGAGAGCAGCCAAAAGCAGCAAGAACACCUGCUGUCAAGCAAAAAUGCACACGACACUCAAGAGUACUCGUGGGGAAAUGAAGACCGAAGACCCACACAUGCCUGACCUACCAUUUAAGGUUAUUCUAAUAAACAGGCACAACCACAAUCUUUUUGUUGCGGACGCCAUCCGCCACCGAGAUGUUGG